CCACUUAGAAUUAAGGAAGAAUAUACCGAAGGAGUGCUUGAAACCCUAACUUAGAUGAAGGGUCGAUCCCGCAGCAGCUAAAAGGUGUUUUGGGCCAGGCGGUUAAUACCAUGCAAUAACUUCUGGGCCCAGUUAAGGAUGCUGUUUCUACUACUCUUUCUAGUGGUCUCACUAUUCCUUUAAAUGGGGCUUUUGAGAGGAUGUUAAUGAUUUCUUAUCUUGAUGAAGAGAUUCUAAUCAUAAGAGAC
Molecule: long non-coding RNA, 248 nt
Organism: Helianthus annuus (common sunflower)
Lineage: Eukaryota; Viridiplantae; Streptophyta; Magnoliopsida; Asterales; Asteraceae
Exons: 3
Source: RefSeq, a predicted model, not a curated record